GGCUACACACGUGCUACAAUGGGUAGUACAGAGAGUUGCAAAGCCGCGAGGUGGAGCUAAUCUCAGAAAACUAUUCUUAGUUCGGACUGUACUCUGCAACUCGAGUACAUGAAGUUGGAAUCGCUAGUAAUCGCGAAUCAGCAAUGUCGCGGUGAAUACGUUCUCGGGUCUUGUACACACCGCCCGUCACACCACGAGAGUUGGUUGCACCUGAAGUAGCAGGCCUAACCGUAAGGAGGGAUGCUCCGAGGGUGUGAUUAGCGAUUGGGGUGAAGUCGUAACAAGGUAUCCGUACGGGAACGU
Molecule: ribosomal RNA, 303 nt
Filed under: uncultured Fusobacterium sp.
Lineage: Bacteria; Fusobacteriati; Fusobacteriota; Fusobacteriia; Fusobacteriales; Fusobacteriaceae
Description: bacterial SSU rRNA
Rfam family: Bacterial small subunit ribosomal RNA
Source: RNAcentral